GCAGUCGUGGCCGAGUGGUCAAGGCGAUGGACUAAAAAUCUCCCCACACAGGUUCGAAUUCUGUCGACUGCG
RNAcentral lists this transfer RNA (72 nucleotides) under Ixodes scapularis (black-legged tick). It matches the Rfam family "tRNA". Rfam says of the family: Transfer RNA (tRNA) molecules are approximately 80 nucleotides in length. Their secondary structure includes four short double-helical elements and three loops (D, anti-codon, and T loops). Lineage: Eukaryota; Metazoa; Arthropoda; Arachnida; Ixodida; Ixodidae. The record is from Rfam by way of RNAcentral.